Molecule: ribosomal RNA, 301 nt
Filed under: uncultured bacterium
Lineage: Bacteria
Description: partial 16S ribosomal RNA
Rfam family: Bacterial small subunit ribosomal RNA
Source: RNAcentral
CAGCAGCCGCGGGAAUUCGUAGGUCCCGAGCGUUGUCCGGAUUUAUUGGGCGUAAAGGGAGCGCAGGCGGUUUAGUAAGUCUGAAGUUAAAGGCAUUGGCUCAACCAAUGUAUGCUUUGGAAACUGUUAGACUUGAGUGCAGAAGGGGAGAGUGGAAUUCCAUGUGUAGCGGUGAAAUGCGUAGAUAUAUGGAGGAACACCGGUGGCGAAAGCGGCUCUCUGGUCUGUCACUGACGCUGAGGCUCGAAAGCGUGGGUAGCGAACAGGAUUAGAUACCCGAGUAGUCCCUGUCUCUUAUACA